RNAcentral lists this ribosomal RNA (461 nucleotides) under uncultured Chlamydia sp. RNAcentral describes it as "bacterial SSU rRNA". It matches the Rfam family "Bacterial small subunit ribosomal RNA", at positions 45 to 486 of the family's 1533-position model. Lineage: Bacteria; Pseudomonadati; Chlamydiota; Chlamydiia; Chlamydiales; Chlamydiaceae. The record is from RNAcentral.
UGUGAUGAGGCAUGCAAGUCGAACGGAAUAAUGACUUCGGUUGUUAUUUAGUGGCGGAAGGGUUAGUAAUACAUAGAUAAUCUGUCCUCAACUUGGGAAUAACGGUUGGAAACGACCGCUAAUACCGAAUGUGGUAUGUUUAGGCAUCUAAAACAUAUUAAAGAAGGGGAUCUUAGGACCUUUCGGUUAAGGAAGAGUCUAUGGGAUAUCAGCUUGUUGGUGGGGUAAUGGCCUACCAAGGCUUUGACGUCUAGGCGGAUUGAGAGAUUGACCGCCAACACUGGGACUGAGACACUGCCCAGACUUCUACGGAAGGCUGCAGUCGAGAAUCUUUCGCAAUGGACGAAAGUCUGACGAAGCGACGCCGCGUGUGUGAUGAAGGCUCUAGGGUUGUAAAGCACUUUCGCUUGGGAAUAAGAGAAAUUGGCUAAUAUCCAAUUGAUUUGAGCGUACCAGGUAAA